GAGGGUCUAGCGUAGUAGUAGAGUACAUGCCUAGCAUGCAUGAGAUCCUGGGUUCAACCCCCAGUACCUCCA
This 72-nucleotide transfer RNA is filed under the name Camelus ferus (Wild Bactrian camel). It matches the Rfam family "tRNA". From Rfam's summary of the family: Transfer RNA (tRNA) molecules are approximately 80 nucleotides in length. Their secondary structure includes four short double-helical elements and three loops (D, anti-codon, and T loops). Lineage: Eukaryota; Metazoa; Chordata; Mammalia; Artiodactyla; Camelidae. The record is from Rfam by way of RNAcentral.